This is a non-coding RNA of Onychostoma macrolepis, 422 nucleotides long. The record is from the annotation of a RefSeq genome assembly. Lineage: Eukaryota; Metazoa; Chordata; Actinopteri; Cypriniformes; Cyprinidae.
AUCAUUUUUAAUCAUGAUCUUCUCAUCAGCUCUACUACUGCUGGCAGCAGCUGCAUCCUGUGGUGUUUUCUGUGUUGAGCUCACUCAACCUCCAUCUCUGGUUGUGAAGCCUCAAGAAUCAUUCUCCAUCUCCUGCAGGAUUUCAGAAUCAAGCUAUUGCAUUCACUGGAUCCGUCAACCAACUGGAAAAGCACUGGAAUGGCUUGGAUACCUUUGUAGUGGUGGUAGCACUAAUAUUAAAGACUCAGUGAAAAACAAGAUCAGUUUCACCCAGGACACGUCCAAAAACACAGUGUUUCUACAGGGGAAGAAUUUUCAGGCUGAGGACUCAGCUGUGUUUUACUGUGCCAGUGAGUCACAGUGACUAAACAAGCCACAGCUCUGUACAAAAACCUGAACACAUGAAUAAGAGAAGCGUAAUA